Molecule: ribosomal RNA, 619 nt
Filed under: uncultured bacterium
Lineage: Bacteria
Description: bacterial SSU rRNA
Rfam family: Bacterial small subunit ribosomal RNA
Source: RNAcentral
CCUACGGGAGGCAGCAGUGGGGAAUUUUGGACAAUGGGCGAAAGCCUGAUCCAGCAAUGCCGCGUGAGUGAAGAAGGCCUUCGGGUUGUAAAGCUCUUUUGUCAGGGAAGAAACGGUGAGGGCUAAUAUCCCUUGCUAAUGACGGUACCUGAAGAAUAAGCACCGGCUAACUACGUGCCAGCAGCCGCGGUAAUACGUAGGGUGCAAGCGUUAAUCGGAAUUACUGGGCGUAAAGCGUGCGCAGGCGGUUUUGUAAGUCUGUCGUGAAAUCCCCGGGCUCAACCUGGGAAUUGCGAUGGAGACUGCAAGGCUAGAAUCUGGCAGAGGGGGGUAGAAUUCCACGUGUAGCAGUGAAAUGCGUAGAGAUGUGGAGGAACACCGAUGGCGAAGGCAGCCCCCUGGGUCAAGAUUGACGCUCAUGCACGAAAGCGUGGGGAGCAAACAGGAUUAGAUACCCUGGUAGUCCACGCCCUAAACGAUGUCUACUAGUUGUCGGGUUUUAAUUAACUUGGUAACGCAGCUAACGCGUGAAGUAGACCGCCUGGGGAGUACGGUCGCAAGAAUUAAAACCUCAAAGGAAUUGACGGCUGNGAGNGCGAGGACGACGACGAGGAGGAGG